UUUCCGUCAUCUCCGAUUAGGCUCGGCCGGCUUCAUCUCACCAUUUCGCUUUCCUCUUUGUCGCCCUCUGAUAAAUUUCGUGACUCUUCGUCACUGUCCGUCAGUCCCCGUCACUUUCCGUCACUUCUCGCCACUUUCCGUCGCUCUCCGCCGCCCUUCAGCUCCGCUCGGCUCUUCUCCGUCAGGCAUCGUCUACUUUCGUCACUCUCCGUCACCCUCCGUCACUCUCCGGCUGCUCCCUACCCCGCACUCCGGGUGGAGAAAGCCUCACGGACUUUUCGUGCCCUUAGCGCUUUUCCGUCAGUCUCCGAUCCUGCUGUCUGUGUCAGUCCCUGGUUACUUCUGGUCUGCUCGUGACUCUGUCCUCCUCCCUUCACUCCUGGGAGAGUGGCCUGGUCCGUCCUGAGAGGCCUCUCCCCACUACCCGGCCUGAAUGAUGAUGGUGUCUCGCUGUGUCGUCUAUCACCCAGGCUGGAGUGCAAUGGUGCGAUCUCGGCUCACUGCAACCUCUGCCUCCCAGGUUCGAGCGAUUCUCGCACCUCAGCCUCCCGGUAGCUGGCAUUGUAGCCAGACAAGCGGCAGACAAAAUUCCUCAGACACCGAGUUAAAGAAGGAAGAGCUUUAUUCAGUCGGGAGCCUGGGCACACUUGGGCCUGAAGAGCCGAGCUCCCCAAAAACAAAAUUCCUGGCACUUUUAAGGGUUUACGACUCUUAAGGGGUUCACGUGAAAGGGUUGUGAUAGAUGGAGCAAGCAUCGGAACGUGACUGGGUGCUACACGCAUCAGAUAACAAAACAGAAAGUUUUGCAGUGCUUCCUCAUACAGUGUCUGGAAUUUACAGAUAACACAAGUAGUUUAGGUCAGGGGUUAAUAUUAUUAUUACUAUUUUAACCACCAGGGAUGGCUGGUGCUGCAAAGGUCGUCUAGCAAUUUAUGUUACCUUUUUUUUUUGUAGCUUUUUGCUUUCUCCCUUUUUCCCUGUUUUAUAAACUAGAGAAGGGGGUGUGGGGAAGGGAGGGGCAGCAGGAGAAGUGGUGGUCUACUUCCUUAGGAUUACAGGCACCCUGCCUUAUUUCUGACUAAUUUUUUUUUGUAUUUUUGGUAGAGAUGGGGUUUCACCGUGUUGGCCAGGCUGGUCUUGAACUCCUGACCUCAGGUGAUCACCUGCCUCGGCCUCUGAAAUUGCUGAGAUUAAAAGCACAAGGCACAGUGCCCAGCCAUGUGUUGGCAAUUUAAUCCCCAAACUCCUGUCCCGAUUGGACAUGUGGCCUUUGGGACGUAACUAGGGUUAGAUAAGGUCAUUAUGGUGGGCCCCCAGUCAUGGGACUCGUGGAUUUAAAAGAUGAGGAAGAGAGACUGCAGCGGACAUGCACUCUUGCCCUCUCCUCCCCCACCCAGAUACUCUUGCUCUCCCCUCCCCUGCCAUGUGCCACCCUCCACUGGGCUGUGAUGCUCUAGGCCUCCCCAGCCACCAGAACUCGCCCUCCCCUCUGCUGUCGUGAGUGGACACGGACUCCCUCCUUCCCUCCAUGCACCACCCUCCCCUGGGCUGGGAUGCUCUGGGCCUCCCCAGCCACCAGAACUGGAAGGGAGACAUUUCAUUUAUGAACUACUCUGUGGUAUUCUGUUAUAGCAACAGAAAAUGUACUAAGACGUAUGGUUUAUAGAUUUUAGGUUUGUGGUUUUUAGGGUUUGGGUAGGAGUACCAGGUAGGGGUUAGGGAAUAGGGUUAGGGUUAGUUUUAGGGUUGUGGGGAGGCAAUAGAGGCCAAGGUUGGAAUCAGAGUGAAGUUCAGCUCAGAGCUUAGUAUCCUGGAGCCACCUCAUUGUGUUGUACGCAAGCGAGUUAGAGAAAACGCCACACUUUGAGAAGAAUUAAGAGUCCUUUAGUUAGCUGGCAGCCAAAGAGAUGGCUAGUGCUCAAAAUUCUCUCAGCCCCAAAGAAGGGGCUAGAAUUUCUUUUGUAAUUUUGUUUAGAAAGGGGAGUGGAGCUCUAGUUAAAACAAUUUUACAGAAGUAAAUUAGGCAAAAUGUUAAAAAGAUAAAUGGUUACAGGAAAGUAAACAGUUCCAGGUGCAGGGGCUUUAAGACUAUUACAAGGUGAUAGACGAGGAUAAUUGGGUGUUAUCAAUCGGACGAAUUCCUGGGGACUGCGGAUAUAGCUUGCCACAGUAUCUUGUCAGUUAAUUGCAUUCUUGGAUGUGCUGGGAGUCAGCUUGCACGAGUUAAGUCUUUGAGGAAGGGGCUGCCAGUGAAAGAGCCAAGAUGGAGUCUGUCCGGUUCUCUCAGUUAAGGGAGAGUCAGGUGGAAACAAGGCUAGGUGAUUAAAGGAAAGGGAGAGUCUAAAAACAGGGUUAGCAAAAAGAGGUUGGGCAUUACAGUUGUACCCUCCAUCACCUCCUGCAAUCUGAAACAAUUCCAUAACUUGGAAAACCUCAGGCAAGGACUUCCUGGAAUGUGUCCACUGUAACCACCAGGUUUUCCAGUGUGUUCUUUACACCCUGUAACCCUGUUAGCUACAGAAUUUUUCAGCAACGUUGUUCUUCACCAGCACUCUGAGUACAUGGAAAAGGCCAAGAUGCUUCUUCAGGGAUGAAUUUUGCUACUUUUUAAAGGAGACUCAAAAGGCACUUUUGCCACUCUAAGUCUUUCUUCAAGUGAUGAAAUUUGUUUCCUAUUUAACUCAUUGCUGUGACGCAUUUUCCAAUUCUAUGUUUGUUUUUGUUGUACUUAUUUUCUGUGUGAACUCUACAUCAUUUACUCACUCUGAACGACAGAAUAAAAGAAAUUGGCCACGAUAUCAUAUUCGGAAGGACAAUCAUGGCCAUAAGACACAAA
Long non-coding RNA from Gorilla gorilla gorilla (western lowland gorilla), 2836 nucleotides. RefSeq lists it as uncharacterized. Lineage: Eukaryota; Metazoa; Chordata; Mammalia; Primates; Hominidae. The record is from RefSeq and is a predicted model, not a curated record. The transcript is spliced from 2 exons.